AUAGGGGAGCCGAAGGGAAACCGAGUCUUAACUGGGCGUUAAGUUGCAGGGUAUAGACCCGAAACCCGGUGAUCUAGCCAUGGGCAGGUUGAAGGUUGGGUAACACUAACUGGAGGACCGAACCGACUAAUGUUGAAAAAUUAGCGGAUGACUUGUGGCUGGGGGUGAAAGGCCAAUCAAACCGGGAGAUAGCUGGUUCUCCCCGAAAGCUAUUUAGGUAGCGCCUCGUGAACUCAUCUUCGGGGGUAGAGCACUGUUUCGGCUAGGGGGUCAUCCCGACUUACCAACCCGAUGCAAACUGCGAAUACCGAAGAAUGUUAUCACGGGAGACACACGGCGGGUGCUAACGUCCGUCGUGAAGAGGGAAACAACCCAGACCGCCAGCUAAGGUCCCAAAGUCACAGUUAAGUGGGAAACGAUGUGGGAAGGCUCAGACAGCCAGGAUGUUGGCUUAGAAGCAGCCAUCAUUUAAAGAAAGCGUAAUAGCUCACUGGUCGAGUCGGCCUGCGCGGAAGAUGUAACGGGGCUAAACUGUGCACCGAAGCUGCGGCAGCGACGCUUAUGCGUUGUUGGGUAGGGGAGCGUUCUGUAAGCCUGCGAAGGUGUCCUGUGAGGGAUGCUGGAGGUAUCAGAAGUGCGAAUGCUGACAUAAGUAACGAUAAUGCGGGUGAAAAGCC
Molecule: ribosomal RNA, 677 nt
Filed under: Salmonella enterica subsp. enterica serovar Kentucky
Lineage: Bacteria; Pseudomonadati; Pseudomonadota; Gammaproteobacteria; Enterobacterales; Enterobacteriaceae
Description: partial 23S ribosomal RNA
Rfam family: Bacterial large subunit ribosomal RNA
Source: RNAcentral